UACGUAGGGAGCAAGCGUUGUCCGGAAUCGUUGGGCGUAAAGCGCGCGUAGGCGGCCUCAUAAGUCCGUUGUGAAAGUCAAAGGCUCAACCUUUGAAAGCCGAUGGAUACUGUGAGGCUAGAGUCCGGAAGAGGCGAGUGGAAUUCCUGGUGUAGCGGUGAAAUGCGCAGAUAUCAGGAAGAACACCCGUGGCGAAGGCGGCUCUCUGGGACGGUACUGACGCUGAGACGCGAAAGCGUGGGGAGCGAACAGG
Molecule: ribosomal RNA, 253 nt
Filed under: uncultured bacterium
Lineage: Bacteria
Description: partial 16S ribosomal RNA
Rfam family: Bacterial small subunit ribosomal RNA
Source: RNAcentral